Molecule: ribosomal RNA, 429 nt
Filed under: uncultured bacterium
Lineage: Bacteria
Description: bacterial SSU rRNA
Rfam family: Bacterial small subunit ribosomal RNA
Source: RNAcentral
UGGGGAAUUUUGCACAAUGGGCGAAAGCCUGAUGCAGCGACGCCGCGUGAAGGAUGAAGGUCUUCGGAUUGUAAACUUCUGUUAAACGGGAAGAAAGCUUUGUAAAUAAUACGUGCAAAGGAUGACGGUACCGUUAGAGAAAGCUCCGGCUAACUUCGUGCCAGCAGCCGCGGUAAGACGAAGGGAGCAAGCGUUAUUCGGAAUUACUGGGCGUAAAGAGCGUGUAGGUGGUUAAUUAAGUCAGUUGUAAAAUCUCCCGGCCUAACCGGGAAACGGCAAUUGAUACUGAUUGGCUAGAGGACAAGAGAGAGAAGUGGAAUUCUCGGAGUAGCGGUAAAAUGCGUAGAUCUCGAGAGGAACACCGGUUGCGAAGGCGGCUUCUUGGCUUGAUCCUGACACUAAAGCGCGAAAGCGUGGGGAGCAAACAGG